This 402-nucleotide ribosomal RNA is filed under the name uncultured microorganism. RNAcentral describes it as "bacterial SSU rRNA". It matches the Rfam family "Bacterial small subunit ribosomal RNA", at positions 9 to 407 of the family's 1533-position model. The record is from RNAcentral.
GAGUUUGAUCAUGGCUCAGAUUGAACGCUGGCGGCAUGCCUUACACAUGCAAGUCGAACGGCAGCAUGAUCUAGCUUGCUAGAUUGAUGGCGAGUGGCGAACGGGUGAGUAAUACAUCGGAACGUGCCCUGUAGUGGGGGAUAACUAGUCGAAAGAUUAGCUAAUACCGCAUACGACCUGAGGGUGAAAGUGGGGGACCGCAAGGCCUCAUGCUAUAGGAGCGGCCGAUGUCUGAUUAGCUAGUUGGUGGGGUAAAGGCCCACCAAGGCGACGAUCAGUAGCUGGUCUGAGAGGACGAUCAGCCACACUGGGACUGAGACACGGCCCAGACUCCUACGGGAGGCAGCAGUGGGGAAUUUUGGACAAUGGGCGAAAGCCUGAUCCAGCAAUGCCGCGUGUGUG